RNAcentral lists this ribosomal RNA (468 nucleotides) under uncultured bacterium. RNAcentral describes it as "partial 16S ribosomal RNA". It matches the Rfam family "Bacterial small subunit ribosomal RNA", at positions 28 to 507 of the family's 1533-position model. The record is from RNAcentral.
GACGAACGCUGGCGGCGUGCUUAACACAUGCAAGUCGAACGGAAAGGCCCUGCUUUUGUGGGGUGCUCGAGUGGCGAACGGGUGAGUAACACGUGAGUAACCUGCCCUUGACUUUGGGAUAACUUCAGGAAACUGGGGCUGAUACCGGAUAUGAGCUCCUGCUGCAUGGUGGGGGUUGGAAAGUUUCGGCGGUUGGGGAUGGACUCGCGGCUUAUCAGCUUGUUGGUGGGGUAGUGGCUUACCAAGGCUUUGACGGGUAGCCGGCCUGAGAGGGUGACCGGCCACAUUGGGACUGAGAUACGGCCCAGACUCCUACGGGAGGCAGCAGUGGGGAAUAUUGCACAAUGGGCGGAAGCCUGAUGCAGCAACGCCGCGUGCGGGAUGACGGCCUUCGGGUUGUAAACCGCUUUCGCCUGUGACGAAGCGUGAGUGACGGUAAUGGGUAAAGAAGCACCGGCUAACUACGUG